Molecule: ribosomal RNA, 497 nt
Filed under: uncultured bacterium
Lineage: Bacteria
Description: partial 16S ribosomal RNA
Rfam family: Bacterial small subunit ribosomal RNA
Source: RNAcentral
GAUGAACGCUGGCGGCGUGCCUAAUACAUGCAAGUCGAGCGAACAAACGAGGAGCUUGCUCCUCUGACGUUAGCGGCGGACGGGUGAGUAACACGUGGAUAACCUACCUAUAAGACUGGGAUAACUUCGGGAAACCGGAGCUAAUACCGGAUAAUAUAUUGAACCGCAUGGUUCAAUAGUGAAAGACGGUUUUGCUGUCACUUAUAGAUGGAUCCGCGCCGCAUUAGCUAGUUGGUAAGGUAACGGCUUACCAAGGCAACGAUGCGUAGCCGACCUGAGAGGGUGAUCGGCCACACUGGAACUGAGACACGGUCCAGACUCCUACGGGAGGCAGCAGUAGGGAAUCUUCCGCAAUGGGCGAAAGCCUGACGGAGCAACGCCGCGUGAGUGAUGAAGGUCUUCGGAUCGUAAAACUCUGUUAUUAGGGAAGAACAAAUGUGUAAGUAACUAUGCACGUCGUGACGGUACCUAAUCAGAAAGCCACGGCUAACUACGUG